This 116-nucleotide ribosomal RNA is filed under the name Holophaga sp. The record is from RNAcentral. Lineage: Bacteria; Pseudomonadati; Acidobacteriota; Holophagae; Holophagales; Holophagaceae.
CGUCGUGGCUAUACCCUGGAGGUCACACCCGUUCCCAUUCCGAACACGGCAGUUAAGCUCCAGAGGGCCGAUGAUACUUCCUGGCACACAGGUGGAAAAGUAGGUCGCCGCGACGU